Molecule: ribosomal RNA, 497 nt
Filed under: uncultured bacterium
Lineage: Bacteria
Description: partial 16S ribosomal RNA
Rfam family: Bacterial small subunit ribosomal RNA
Source: RNAcentral
GAUGAACGCUGGCGGCGUGCCUAAUACAUGCAAGUCGAACGGACAGGCGCGGCGUUUGCUCCUCUCUCGUUAGCCGCGCACGUGUGAAAAACACGUGUAUCACCUCCCUAUCUUACUGAUAUCUCUUCGAAACACCGGAUCUAAUCCCGGAUAAUCUAUUGAACCGCGGGGUUCGAUAGUGAGAGACGGUUUUGCUGUCACUUCUAGCUGCUUCCGCGCCGCAUUAGCUGGUUGGUAAGGUAACGGCCUACCAAGGCAACGCUGCGUAGGCGACGGGAGGGGGUGAUAGGCCACACUGGAACUGGGACACGGUCCAGACGCCUACGGGAGGCAGCAGUAGGGAAUCGGCCGCAACGGGCGAAAGCCUGGCGGAGCAACGCCGAGUGAGUGAUGAAGGUCCUCGGAUCGUAAAACCCUGUUAUUAGUGAAGAACAAAUGUGGAAGUUACUAUGGACGGCGUGACGGUACUGAAUCAGAAAGCAACGGCUAACUACGUG